RNAcentral lists this ribosomal RNA (497 nucleotides) under uncultured bacterium. Its description in RNAcentral is "partial 16S ribosomal RNA". It matches the Rfam family "Bacterial small subunit ribosomal RNA", at positions 28 to 507 of the family's 1533-position model. The record is from RNAcentral.
GACGAACGCUGGCGGCGUGCCUAAUACAUGCAAGUUGAGCGCUGAAGGUUGGUACUUGUACCAACUGGAUGAGCAGCGAACGGGUGAGUAACGCGUGGGGAAUCUGCCUUUGAGCGGGGGACAACAUUUGGAAACGAAUGCCAAUACCGCAUAAAAACUUUAAACACAAGUUUUAAGUUUGAAAGAUGCAAUUGCAUCACUCAAAGAUGAUCCCGCGUUGUAUUAGCUAGUUGGUGAGGUAAAGGCUCACCAAGGCGAUGAUACAUAGCCGACCUGAGAGGGUGAUCGGCCACAUUGGGACUGAGACACGGCCCAAACUCCUACGGGAGGCAGCAGUAGGGAAUCUUCGGCAAUGGACGAAAGUCUGACCGAGCAACGCCGCGUGAGUGAAGAAGGUUUUCGGAUCGUAAAACUCUGUUGGUAGAGAGGAACGUUGGUGAGAGUGGAAAGCUCAUCAAGUGACGGUAACUACCCAGAAAGGGACGGCUAACUACGUG